UACCAUGCAGUCGAGCGGCAGCACGGGGAGCUUGCUCCCUGGUGGCGAGCGGCGGACGGGUGAGUAAUGCAUAGGAAUCUGCCCGGUAGUGGGGGAUAACGUGGGGAAACCCACGCUAAUACCGCAUACGUCCUACGGGAGAAAGCAGGGGAUCUUCGGACCUUGCGCUAUCGGAUGAGCCUAUGUCGGAUUAGCUAGUUGGUAAGGUAACGGCUUACCAAGGCGACGAUCCGUAGCUGGUCAGAGAGGAUGAUCAGCCACACUGGGACUGAGACACGGCCCAGACUCCUACGGGAGGCAGCAGUGGGGAAUAUUGGACAAUGGGCGAAAGCCUGAUCCAGCCAUGCCGCGUGUGUGAAGAAGGCUUUCGGGUUGUAAAGCACUUUCAGCGAGGAAGAAAGCCUCUGGGCUAAUACUUCAGAGGAAGGACAUCACUCGCAGAAGAAGCACCGGCUAACUCCGUGCCAGCAGCCGCGGUAA
This 480-nucleotide ribosomal RNA is filed under the name uncultured Halomonas sp. RNAcentral describes it as "bacterial SSU rRNA". It matches the Rfam family "Bacterial small subunit ribosomal RNA", at positions 52 to 523 of the family's 1533-position model. Lineage: Bacteria; Pseudomonadati; Pseudomonadota; Gammaproteobacteria; Oceanospirillales; Halomonadaceae. The record is from RNAcentral.